AUUGUGCUUAAUGAGUCAGCGACUAUAAUGUCGACCUGAGCGGUUAACUGAGCAAC
This 56-nucleotide small RNA is filed under the name Arabidopsis thaliana (thale cress). RNAcentral's name for it is "ATSL108550". Lineage: Eukaryota; Viridiplantae; Streptophyta; Magnoliopsida; Brassicales; Brassicaceae. The record is from RNAcentral.